GAUAAACGCUGGCGGCGUGCUUAACACAUGCAAGUCGAACGGAGUACUUCUCCCGAGACUGAGGAAGCUUGCUUCCAAAGAAUCAUUUGAAGUACUUAGUGGCGGACGGGUGAGUAACGCGUGGGUAACCUGCCUCACACAGGGGGAUAACAGUUGGAAACGACUGUUAAUACCGCAUAAGCGCACAGUAUCGCAUGAUACAGUGUGAAAAACUCCGGUGGUGUGAGAUGGACCCGCGUCUGAUUAGCUAGUUGGUGAGGUAACGGCCCACCAAGGCGACGAUCAGUAGCCGGCCUGAGAGGGUGUACGGCCACAUUGGGACUGAGACACGGCCCAAACUCCUACGGGAGGCAGCAGUGGGGAAUAUUGCACAAUGGGGGAAACCCUGAUGCAGCGACGCCGCGUGAGUGAUGAAGUAUCUCGGUAUGUAAAGCUUCUAUCAGCAGGGAAGAUACAUGACGGA
This 463-nucleotide ribosomal RNA is filed under the name bacterium FCS016. RNAcentral describes it as "bacterial SSU rRNA". It matches the Rfam family "Bacterial small subunit ribosomal RNA", at positions 28 to 476 of the family's 1533-position model. The record is from RNAcentral.